CAUGCAAGUCGAACGAUGAACCGGUUUCGGCCGGGGAUUAGUGGCGAACGGGUGAGUAACACGUGGGCAAUCUGCCCUGCACUCUGGGAUAAGCCCGGGAAACUGGGUCUAAUACCGGAUACGACACAUGAGCGCAUGCUCGUGUGUGGAAAGUUCCGGCGGUGCAGGAUGAGCCCGCGGCCUAUCAGUUUGUUGGUGGGGUAGUGGCCUACCAAGACGACGACGGGUAGCCGGCCUGAGAGGGUGACCGGCCACACUGGGACUGAGACACGGCCCAGACUCCUACGGGAGGCAGCAGUGGGGAAUAUUGCACAAUGGGCGAAAGCCUGAUGCAGCGACGCCGCGUGAGGGAUGACGGCCUUCGGGUUGUAAACCUCUUUCAGCAGGGAAGAAGCGAAAGUGACGGUACCUGCAGAAGAAGCACCGGCUAACUACGUGCCAGCAGCCGCGGUAAUACGUAGGGUGCAAGCGUUGUCCGGAAUUAUUGGGCGUAAAGAGCUCGUAGGCGGCCUGUCGCGUCGAUUGUGAAAGCCCAGGGCUUAACCCUGGGUCUGCAGUCGAUACGGGCAGGCUAGAGUUCGGUAGGGGAGAUCGGAAUUCCUGGUGUAGCGGUGAAAUGCGCAGAUAUCAGGAGGAACACCGGUGGCGAAGGCGGAUCUCUGGGCCGAUACUGACGCUGAGGAGCGAAAGCGUGGGGAGCG
Molecule: ribosomal RNA, 701 nt
Filed under: Streptomyces sp. Sp080513SC-08
Lineage: Bacteria; Bacillati; Actinomycetota; Actinomycetes; Kitasatosporales; Streptomycetaceae
Description: bacterial SSU rRNA
Rfam family: Bacterial small subunit ribosomal RNA
Source: RNAcentral